CGUGUAGGCGGUUUGGCAAGUCAGAGGUGAAAUGCCCCGGCUCAACCGGGGACCUGCCUUUGAAACUGCCGAACUUGAGGCCGUGAGAGGAGACUGGAAUUCCUAGUGUAGCGGUGAAAUGCAUAGAUAUUAGGAAGAACACCAGUGGCGAAGGCGAGUCUCUGGCACGGUUCUGACGCUGAUGCGCGAAAGCUAGGGGAGCGAACG
RNAcentral lists this ribosomal RNA (207 nucleotides) under uncultured bacterium. RNAcentral describes it as "partial 16S ribosomal RNA". It matches the Rfam family "Bacterial small subunit ribosomal RNA", at positions 568 to 774 of the family's 1533-position model. The record is from RNAcentral.